CAAAAAAUAGUUUAAAUAAAACGUUAAUUUUGGGGAUUAAAUAUAUCUAUGAGUGGAUUUUUUUGA
Molecule: transfer RNA, 66 nt
Filed under: Andrena chrysosceles
Lineage: Eukaryota; Metazoa; Arthropoda; Insecta; Hymenoptera; Andrenidae
Description: tRNA-Pro
Source: RNAcentral